CCAGGUCCUCCAGAAAGUGGAACCUGAGUCAAAAACUAAAGUGCUGACAUUUCGGGAGGUGCAAGUCCAAGGUUUAAAAGGUAAGUUAAAAAGGGAAGUAUGGGAAAUAAAGAAGUCAGGCAUGGUGAGGAAACUGUCACACACCACUGUGUGGCCACCAGGUUACAAGGAGCCGAAAAGAGGCAUAGCAGGUGGCUCAGCAGGCUAUUUACAAAAAUAAUUGUAGAUAAAUGUUCAAAUAAAAAAGAGGAAGCUGUGAAGAUGACUAUAGGACAUCUCUCGUCGUCAGCCUCCCAGACUUUCUGAAAUACCAAGAAUAAGGGUGGAGCAAAUAUCUGGGUACCGUGGCCUAGUGAAGCAGACACAUGACAUUAAUCAUCACACAAAGUGAUAAGGAUCUAGUGCUUCGUUCACCUUCUUUGACAAUGAGAAACAAAAACAACAACGAAACAGAGAAUAUAGUGCUUUGUGGAUGCCAGGCACUGUGUGAGACACUUUCUAUAUAUUAAUUCACCAUCUCCUUCACCACAACCGUUUGAGAUGCUGAAGUCAUUAUUACUAUAACGAUUUGGGGGAAAAAAAUCAUCUGAGCCAGAUCCAUUCCUUCCCUUGGUCUCGCUCUAAGCCUACGUGACAGGAUGGAGAGUGAUCUCAUUUUAGAAGACGUUGAAUGAAAUGGAGCAUUCUUUAAAUGAGACACAUACACACAGCUCAGGGUUUCUCAGUCUCAGCACUAUUCACAUUUUGGCUGAAUAAUUCUUUGUUGUGGGUGUCUGUUCUGUGCAUUGCAGGAUGUUUAGCAGCAUCCUUGGCCUCCACCCACCAGAUGCAAGUAGCAGUGUCCUUCCCUCUCCCACUAGCUGUGACAACCAAAAAUGUAUCCAGACAUUGCCAAAAUCCUCCUCACCCCCACUGAGAACCAUUGACACAAAUCAAGAAGAAAGUUUUGCCAUUGUAUUUUCUGAAUGUCAUUGCCAAGUUUAGCGGGGGAAAGUUGAUUUCUUUAUGGGAGAUUUUGUGUGUGUGGCUGUUUUACAAAAUCCAAAUUAUAAAUAACAGAUGUAAGUGAGAAAAGAUUGAAUGUUUAUUACCCAAAGCCAUAUAAAUUCAAUAAUAAAUAAUGGCUUUCUCUAAAAAUAUGAGGAGUCUUUUCAAAGCCAUUAGUUCUAAUCAUAAAUGAAUUUAGCAGCAUUUCUUUAAAUUUUGCCCUUUUGUAAUGAACUCUGAUACAUUCAUGGAACUGGUUGUUAAAUAAAGAGAUAGAAAGGUCUAAUUUGCUGGUUCAUUAAGCUAGCUUAUUUCAAGACACUGUGCAUAUUGCUUUGAAUUUCAUAUUUCUGAGCAGUGGAGACAAUAGUUGUAUCCAUCUCUAAUGUAGUGUGGCAGACAAUUAGGAGCUCAAAUGUAUUAAAUCUCAUUUCAUCAGAAAUAUACACAGUGAUUAUUAUUUUAUUGCCAAAUACUGUCAGCAUUACAUUUCUUCAACAGCUAUUGUGAUACCUGAUUCACAUGCUUAAAUUUGCAUUAAACACUGUGCUAACAACAA
Long non-coding RNA from Cercocebus atys (sooty mangabey), 1546 nucleotides. RefSeq lists it as uncharacterized. The record is from RefSeq and is a predicted model, not a curated record. NCBI's taxonomy places the organism in Eukaryota, Metazoa, Chordata, Mammalia, Primates, Cercopithecidae. The transcript has 4 exons.